This 85-nucleotide transfer RNA is filed under the name Sandarakinorhabdus sp. Its description in RNAcentral is "tRNA-Leu". It matches the Rfam family "tRNA". From Rfam's summary of the family: Transfer RNA (tRNA) molecules are approximately 80 nucleotides in length. Their secondary structure includes four short double-helical elements and three loops (D, anti-codon, and T loops). Lineage: Bacteria; Pseudomonadati; Pseudomonadota; Alphaproteobacteria; Sphingomonadales; Sphingosinicellaceae. The record is from RNAcentral.
GCCGGUGUGGUGAAAUUGGUAGACGCGCCGGAUUCAAAAUCCGGUUCCGCAAGGAGUGUCGGUUCGAGUCCGACCACCGGCACCA